RNAcentral lists this ribosomal RNA (464 nucleotides) under uncultured bacterium. RNAcentral's name for it is "partial 16S ribosomal RNA". It matches the Rfam family "Bacterial small subunit ribosomal RNA", at positions 339 to 795 of the family's 1533-position model. The record is from RNAcentral.
CUACGAGAGGCACCAGUGGGGAAUAUUGCACAAUGGGCGCAAGCCUGAUGCAGCCACGCCGCGUGUAUGAAGAAGGCCUUGGGGUUGUAAAGUACUUUCAGCGGGGAGGAAGGGAGUAAAGUUAAUACCUUUGCUCAUUGACGUUACCCGCAGAAGAAGCACCGGCUAACUCCGUGCCAGCAGCCGCGGUAAUACGGAGGGUGCAAGCGUUAAUCGGAAUUACUGGGCGUAAAGCGCACGCAGGCGGUCUGUUAAGUCAGAUGUGAAAUCCCCGGGCUCAACCUGGGAACUGCAUCUGAUACUGGCAAGCUUGAGUCUCGUAGAGGGGGGUAGAAUUCCAGGUGUAGCGGUGAAAUGCGUAGAGAUCUGGAGGAAUACCGGUGGCGAAGGCGGCCCCCUGGACGAAGACUGACGCUCAGGUGCGAAAGCGUGGGGAGCAAACAGGAUUAGAUACCCCAGUAGUC